Molecule: long non-coding RNA, 1466 nt
Organism: Zea mays
Lineage: Eukaryota; Viridiplantae; Streptophyta; Magnoliopsida; Poales; Poaceae
Exons: 3
Source: RefSeq, a predicted model, not a curated record
GCGACGGCGUGAAUGAUAGCAGGGACGGUGGUGUGAAGGUCAGCAGCUGCGGCGACGUGAAGGGUGACAACAGCAACGUCUGCUUGAAGGGCUGCAACAGCGGCCUCGGCUUGAAGGGCUUCGACAGCGGCAGCGUGACGAGCAAAAGCUACGGCGGCGUGAAGGUCCCUGGAGCAAGCAUCUGCUAGAACCUGGUCGCCAACUUCUUUAGCUAACCUGCACAACCAAAAAUGGGGACUGCUCACGUCACAGGAACAGAGAUGCCACUUGUGAGUUGUGCUCUGGCAUGAUUACUCGUAAAGCAGCAAGUGGUUCAGGCCAUGAGUAUUGUUCAGGUUCAGGCUACGAGUAUUAUUAGUUAGAGCAUCUGGACAUAUUGUCAGCUUUUAACUGGAUAGUUCGUUCUAUUUUAAUAUAUUGUGUUACUACUUUGCCUAGCUGAUGAAGUAAGGUACUAUUUGAAUUUUCAGUUGUUGUAGCUCUUUAUUUUGGAGAUAGCAGCAUAGCAAGCUUGUCACUUUUUGAAUAACCUUUUUCUCUUACUAGCUGCUCCAUUUCUGGGUAGUAUACUGGAUAAUGUCUUGGAUGCUCUUUCAUCUUGUCAGUCUAUUGUUUUUCAUAACUGUGAAAGUGAGGCACUAACUGUUGCUGUGGCCAUGGAGAAAGGAACAACCCAUCCUAUUGGAAGGUACAGAAAAUACAUAAUUUUUGAAGAGCCCAGUUUUUCAUUUUAUGUUGGAUGUGAUUGCUUGAAUUUCUAUUCACACAAGCCAUUAGUGGUUGUCUUGCACUGGACCAGCAUGAGUUCUAGUUAACAUGAAUGUUGCCGUGAUCUUAUCUAUGCCUGUCUAGAACUGACCGAAGGACGCUUGGCUAACAGUGGCUACUGUCCUAAUGGCAAAAAAGGACUGACAAAGGGAACUCGUCUCACCCGGGAACAAAAUUCCCCCCUUCAAAAAAACAAAGAGUGGCAAAACCUGAUCGCGCUAGCAAGAAAUCUUCGGAGUUAAUGAAGAAGAAUACUGAGACCCUGUUGGCUUCGUCUCUUGGGGCUACAGAAAUACAAGAGGGCAAAAAUGUUGAAGAAAUGGCUAAAGCUUUGUCUAAUGUGAUUGUAGAAGAGUCAAAAAAAACACAGACCGAAGAUGCCCCACAGAAAAAGCGUCGGAUAAAACAAUAAUGAGGCCUGUUUAUAAGGCCACCUCUGGCAAAAGAGAAGAAAAGGACCUAGAUACAGACAAAAACGCUAAAGUAAGUAAAAAUGCCGAAGUUGCUGCGAUGGCUUCUAUAGAUAAAAUAAUCAAGGACUUAGAGCCUAAGAAAAUGAGUGAGGAGAUAGUAGAGGUAACUAAGUGAAAGGGAAAUGUGCCUUUGGACCAUUUCUAAGUUGUUUUGAUGAUUAACUGUCCAACACAUCACUUUAAACUAACCUUCUUCAUAUGAGCAUGAGAACAUGUUUAUAUUAA